This 274-nucleotide ribosomal RNA is filed under the name uncultured bacterium. RNAcentral describes it as "partial 16S ribosomal RNA". It matches the Rfam family "Bacterial small subunit ribosomal RNA", at positions 523 to 796 of the family's 1533-position model. The record is from RNAcentral.
AUACAGAGGGUGCAAACGUUGCUCGGAAUUAUUGGGCGUAAAGCGCGUGUAGGCGGCCUGUUAAGUCGACUGUGAAAGCCCAUGGCUCAACCAUGGAAGUGCAGUCGAUACUGAUAGGCUAGAGUUCUGGAGAGGAUGGCGGAAUUCCCAGUGUAGAGGUGAAAUUCGUAGAUAGUGGGAGGAACACCAGUGGCGAAGGCGCUUAACUGGACGGGUACUGACGCUCAGGUACGAAAGCGUGGGGAGCAAACAGGAGUAGAAACCCCAGUAGUCC